Molecule: long non-coding RNA, 311 nt
Filed under: Elaeis guineensis (African oil palm)
Lineage: Eukaryota; Viridiplantae; Streptophyta; Magnoliopsida; Arecales; Arecaceae
Description: long non-coding RNA (EGUI_LNC078979)
Source: RNAcentral
GAAGGCCCGGACUGCCAGGAUCGAGAGCAAGAAUAAAUUAAAAUCUAUUGAGCUCAGUCGAGAGCCUGUCUCCACCGACCAAAGACUUUCCUCUGAGGUCAGAAUAGUUUUGGAGACACCUACAUCUACUCUGACCCCGAUCAUCAAGUGACCUCAGCCUUUCAAGACUUCUGCUCGGGUAGGGUCUUCUAAGAAGGCUGACGAUGAUGAGGCCCUUCCCAACGACAUUCCAAAGGGCUUAUUUUUCAAGACUGAAAGGUAGUUCGUGAAACUAUCCAAAACUCUAUUAUUUCGAUGGAGUUAGAGCAGAU